ACCUACCUGACGUGUACACCACUCAAUCAUCCUCCGGCAGGGGUUUUACAAUAAUAAAAACAGAAAUUAAACAUCCCCCAAUCGAAUACAAAUUCGAGCCCAAUAUAUGAUGCAGAAUUUUUAUGAACUUCACCAACAACUAUGAUCUGAUUUUUAACUUUAGAUCAAACAGAAUAUGUAACGCAAAUUCAGAUCUGGAAGAUUGGUAUUCAAGCGUUACCUCCUUGAAGGAAUAUAUCUCAAUGAAAGCACGAAUUUGAUGGGGGCUCACGGUCCAAAGCCCCUCACCAAGCCCCUUUCCUUGCGCUCCUCGCGUGCGCCUUCGAAAUCGAUGAUGAUGGACCGAUUGUAGGCAACACCCGGUGGAAUAACUCAAGAAGAAGAUCAACAAUGAAAGCAAACUUGAUUUAUAUUCCACUAAAUUGAAGAACGAAGAACAAUAAUAAAGAAAGCAAAAGAAAUCUAGAAAGAGAUUGAAGAGAUCUCUCCCUAGCCCAAUCUAGUGGAGAUUGAUGGAUCU
This 520-nucleotide long non-coding RNA is filed under the name Phoenix dactylifera (date palm). RNAcentral's name for it is "long non-coding RNA (PDAC_LNC022607)". Lineage: Eukaryota; Viridiplantae; Streptophyta; Magnoliopsida; Arecales; Arecaceae. The record is from RNAcentral.